AGUGAACGCUGGCGGUAGGCCUAACACAUGCAAGUCGAACGGCAGCACAGUAAGAGCUUGCUCUUACGGGUGGCGAGUGGCGGACGGGUGAGGAAUACAUCGGAAUCUACUUUUUCGUGGGGGAUAACGUAGGGAAACUUACGCUAAUACCGCAUACGACCUACGGGCGAAAGCAGGGGAUCUUCGGACCUUGCGCGAUUGAAUGAGCCGAUGUCGGAUUAGCUAGUUGGCGGGGUAAAGGCCCACCAAGGCGACGAUCCGUAGCUGGUCUGAGAGGAUGAUCAGCAACACUGGAACUGAGACACGGUCCAGACUACUAAGGGAGGAAGCAGUGGGGAAUAUUGGACAAUGGGCGAAAGCAUGAUCCAGCCAUACCGCGUGGGGGAAGAAGGACUUCGGGUUGUAAAGCACUUUUGUUGGGAAAGAAAAGCAGAAGGUUAAUACCCCGCCGUUCUGACGGUACCCAAAGAAUAAGCACCGGAUAAAUUCGUG
RNAcentral lists this ribosomal RNA (492 nucleotides) under uncultured bacterium. Its description in RNAcentral is "partial 16S ribosomal RNA". It matches the Rfam family "Bacterial small subunit ribosomal RNA", at positions 29 to 507 of the family's 1533-position model. The record is from RNAcentral.